GUUUGAUUCUGGCUCAGGACGAACGCUGGCGGCGCGCUUAACACAUGCAAGUCGAGCGAGAACCAGGCCUUAGGGCCUGGGGAAAGCGGCGAACGGGUGAGUAACACGUGGGUAAUCUGCCCUCGGCACUGGGAUAGCCCGGGGAAACCCGGAUUAAUACCGGAUGGCCUCUCGAGCUCUCGGGCUCGUGAGAAAAGGUAGCUUCGGCCUCCGGCCGAGGAGGAGCCCGCGGCGGAUUAGCUUGUUGGUGAGGUAAAGGCUCACCAAGGCGACGAUCCGUAGCUGGUGUGAGAGCAUGACCAGCCACACUGGGACUGAGACACGGCCCAGACUCCUACGGGAGGCAGCAGUGGGGAAUCUUGCGCAAUGGGCGAAAGCCUGACGCAGCGACGCCGCGUGCGGGAAGAAGGCCUUCGGGUUGUAAACCGCUUUCAGGAGGGACGAAGCCACUCGGGUGAAUAGCCCAGAGGGUGACGGUACCUCCAGAAGAAGCCCCGGCUAACUACGUGCCAGCAGCCGCGGUAAUACGUAGGGGGCUAGCGUUGUCCGGAUUUAUUGGGCGUAAAGCGCGUGUAGGCGGCUUGAUAGGUCUGCUGUGAAAACUCGGGGCUCAACCCCGAGAGGUCGGUGGAAACCAUCUGGCUAGAGUCCGGAAGAGGAGAGUGGAAUUCCCGGUGUAGCGGUGAAAUGCGCAAAUAUCGGGAAGAACACCCGUGGCGAAGGCGGCUCUCUGGGACGGUACUGACGCUGAGACGCCAAAGCGUGGGGAGCGAACAGGAUUAGAUACCCUGGUAGUCCACGCCGUAAACGAUGGGUGCCAGGUGUGGGUGGUGUCCACUCCAUCCGUGCCCAACCUAACGCAUUAAGCACCCCGGCCCGGGGAGUACGGCCGCAUGGCUGAAACUCAAAGAAAUUGACGGGGGCCCGCACAAGCAGCGGAGCAUGUGGUUUAAUUCGACGCGACGCGAAGAACCUUACCAGGGCUUGACAUGCACUGGAAUGUCGUAGAAAUACGGCAGCCCUUCGGGGCCAGUGCACAGGUGGUGCAUGGCUGUCGUCAGCUCGUGUCGUGAGAUGUUGGGUUAAGUCCCGCAACGAGCGCAACCCCUGUCCCAUGUUGCCAGCGUGAAAGACGGGGACUCAUGGGAGACUGCCGGUGACAAAUCGGAGGAAGGUGGGGAUGACGUCAAGUCAUCAUGCCCCUUACGUCCUGGGCUACACACGUGCUACAUUGGCCGGUACAAAGGGCUGCAAACCCGUGAGGGGGAGCGAAUCCCAAAAAACCGGUCCCGGUUCGGAUUGAAGGCUGAAACUCGCCUUCAUGAAGGCGGAGUUGCUAGUAAUCGCGGAUCAGCAAUGCCGCGGUGAAUACGUUCCCGGGCCUUGUACACACCGCCCGUCACGUCAUGGGAGUCGGCAACACCCGAAGCCGGUGGCCUAACCCGCAAGGGAGGGAGCCGUCGAAGGUGGGGUCGGUGACUGGGACGAAGUCGUAACAAGGUAGCC
RNAcentral lists this ribosomal RNA (1506 nucleotides) under uncultured bacterium. Its description in RNAcentral is "bacterial SSU rRNA". It matches the Rfam family "Bacterial small subunit ribosomal RNA". The record is from RNAcentral.